RNAcentral lists this ribosomal RNA (301 nucleotides) under uncultured bacterium. Its description in RNAcentral is "partial 16S ribosomal RNA". It matches the Rfam family "Bacterial small subunit ribosomal RNA", at positions 509 to 809 of the family's 1533-position model. The record is from RNAcentral.
CAGUCGCCGCGGGAAUACGUAGGGUGCAAGCGUUAAUUGGAAUUACUGGGCGUAAAGCGUGCGCAGGCGGUUCGGAAAGAAAGAUGUGAAAUCCCAGGGCUUAACCUUGGAACUGCAUUUUUAACUCCCGGACUAGAGUAUGUCAGAGGGGGGUGGAAUUCCACGUGUAGCAGUGAAAUGCGUAGAUAUGUGGAGGAACACCGAUGGCGAAGGCAGCCCCCUGGGAUAAUACUGACGCUCAUGCACGAAAGCGUGGGGAGCAAACAGGAUUAGAUACCCGGGUAGUCCCUGUCUCUUAUAA